Molecule: ribosomal RNA, 35 nt
Filed under: Eucalyptus pyrocarpa
Lineage: Eukaryota; Viridiplantae; Streptophyta; Magnoliopsida; Myrtales; Myrtaceae
Description: partial 18S ribosomal RNA
Source: RNAcentral
CAAGGUUCCGUAGGUGAACCUGCGGAGGAUCAUUG